RNAcentral lists this ribosomal RNA (275 nucleotides) under uncultured prokaryote. RNAcentral describes it as "partial 16S ribosomal RNA". It matches the Rfam family "Bacterial small subunit ribosomal RNA", at positions 524 to 798 of the family's 1533-position model. The record is from RNAcentral.
CACGUAGGAGGCAAACGUUAUCCGGAUUUACUGGGCGUGAAGCGCGUGUAGGUGGUUCUGUAAGUAGGGCGUGAAAGCUCCCGGCUCAACUGGGAGAGGCCGUUCUAAACUGCAGAGCUAGAGGAUGGUAGAGGGAGGUGGAAUUCCAGGUGUAGCGGUGGAAUGCGUAGAUAUCAGGAGGAACUCCGGUGGCGAAGGCGACUUCCUGGCACAAGACUGACGCUCAUGUGCGAAAGCUAGGGUAGCGAACGGGAUUAGAUACCCCGGUAGUCCCU